GAUGAAGAACGCAGCGAAAUGCGAUAAGUAAUGUGAAUUGCAGAAUUCAGUGAAUCAUCGAAUCUUUGAACGCACAUUGCGCCCCUUGGUAUCCCGAGGGGCAUGCCUGUUCGAGCGUCAUUUCACCACUCAAGCCUGGCUUGGUGUUGGGCGACGUCCCCUUUGGGGACGCGCCUUGAAACGCUCGGCGGCGUGGCACCGGCUUUAAGCGUAGCAGAAUCUUUCGCUUUGGAAGUCGGGGCCCCGUCUGCCGGAAGACCUACUCGCAAGGUUGACCUCGGAUCAGGCAGGGAUACCCGCUGAACUUAAGCAUAUCAAUAAGCGGAGGA
RNAcentral lists this unclassified non-coding RNA (329 nucleotides) under soil metagenome. RNAcentral describes it as "partial contains 5.8S ribosomal RNA, internal transcribed spacer 2, and large subunit ribosomal RNA". The stretch from base 1 to 120 matches the Rfam family "5.8S ribosomal RNA", at positions 35 to 154 of the family's 154-position model. The record is from RNAcentral.